UAGGGAAUAUUGCGCAAUGGGGGAAACCCUGACGCAGCGAUACCGUGUGAGGGAGGAAGGUCUUCGGAUUGUAAACCUCUGUCAAAAGGGACAAAUGGAUACAUGAAUAAUGUAUAUUGAUGGUACCUUUAAAGGAAGCACCGGCUAACUCCGUGCCAGCAGCCGCGGUAAUACGGAGGGUGCAAGCGUUGUUCGGAAUCAUUGGGCGUAAAGCGCGCGCAGGCGGGAUUGUGUGUAAGAUGUGAAAGCUCGGGGCCUAACCCCGAAAGUGCGUCUUAAACUGCAAUUCUAGAAUGUCGGAGGGGGAUGGGGAAUUUCUCAUGUAGGGGUAAAAUCCGUAGAGAUGAGAAGGAACACCUGAGGCGAAGGCGCCAUCCUGGACGAAUAUUGACGCUGAGGCGCGAAAGCGUGGGGAGCAAACAGG
Molecule: ribosomal RNA, 424 nt
Filed under: uncultured bacterium
Lineage: Bacteria
Description: bacterial SSU rRNA
Rfam family: Bacterial small subunit ribosomal RNA
Source: RNAcentral